RNA transcript from Penaeus monodon (black tiger shrimp), 2950 nucleotides. RefSeq lists it as uncharacterized. NCBI's taxonomy places the organism in Eukaryota, Metazoa, Arthropoda, Malacostraca, Decapoda, Penaeidae. The transcript is spliced from 2 exons. The record is from RefSeq and is a predicted model, not a curated record.
UGUGUGUGUGUGUGUGUGUGUGUGUGUGUGUGUGUGUGUGUGUGUGUGUGUGUGUGUGUGUGUGUGUGUGAAUAUUUUUCAAUCAUACAAAGAGUAUUUUUAUUCAAUAGAAUUUCCUCUGCAGAUACAGUAUACUCUGUACGAAUAAAUUAAAAGCUGCGGUUCGGACGAGCUUGAAUGAACCCUCGCGUCUUCUCGUUCGACACUACUCGACUCGUUUCGCGCACAGGUGGAAAAAGGGGGCGUGGCAGCAGAUCGCUGAGGCACACCAACGGAGACGCACCCUACUGCAGCUGAGGGCCGAGUUGAGGGGCGUGGGCGUGCUUUGCUGCACUUGUUUGAGUAUUCGUGUAUUCGCGAUUCAGUUCAAAUAUAUUAUUUUGAAAAUAUAAUACAUUUUAGCAAAGUUUUGCCAUAGUAUUAUAGGUAUUUCCGAACUGUUUUUAGGCACAGGCUGUUCGGUAGAGAUUUCGACGUUGUUAGAUAUCCUUGGAUACAAUUUAUAUUAAAUUCCUAUUGUGUAUAUAUAUAUGUUUUCUUUAUCGAUAUUUUGUCUGAGUAUUAGUGUUUUUGCAACCUAUAAUAUUUUCAUCAAUAUUAUUGAAGUAAAACAAUAAAUGGAUUACUUUUGCGUGCGUUUAAACUUAAACCCUGUGAACGGAAGACAUCCUUUUGACUCAAAAGAACCAAAUUAUUCACAAGUGGCGAUCUUGCCAGGAUGUCGGAUUUCUGGGGGUCUGUGUUUGGUGAUAACUUAGGAUAUCACUCCUCUCUUGUCGACCUUGGGGCCCGGAGACAAGUGCCACAGUGUCCUAGCGUAACGGGAGGAAGCGUGGGAGCUGUCCACCCUUUUGUGCAUUGCCCGUAGGACCUGUUUCUGAUUCAGUGUCCCUGUAUCAGUGAGAGUAUUUUUGAUGUACUAGGUGCAGGACUACGCCUAGAAUUGCUGCUAGGUGCGGAUGUGUUUUCGGAAACUCCAGUGAGCAUAACAUCUCCCUCAGUACUGCCGAGCGUUUGAAGCCUGAGAUAUAUCCCAUAUCUCUCCUCUCCACCUGCAGUCACAUUUUGAGGAGGAAGUAGAACAACUACAGAAGCAAGGAAUCGUUAGAUUAUCAUCGUCUCCUCACUGUUCACCCGCGGUAAUGAUACGAAAAUUUGAUGGUACGUAUCGAAUGGCUAUAGACUAUAGAGCCCUUAACUCUGCCACAGUUUUUCAUGCUGAACCAGCCUGUAAGAUAGAAGAUGAUCUACAUAAAUGUAAUGGUUGUUUAUUUUUCUGAACUAGAUUUAACGAGGGCUUACUAUCAAAUUCCAAUCUCUUGAAGGACUUAAUCCUUGACAGCAUUUCCAACACACAAAGGCUUAAAGGAAUUUUGUAGACUACCAUUGGAUGCAGAAAGCUGUGUGCAACUUGUGUUAGACUCAUGAGGCUCAUUCGAGUAGGAUUACCUAACGUAACCUUUUACUUUGACAAUAUAUUCAUAUAUGCUAAGGAGUGGAAACCUCAUCUAGAAGCUAUCAUCUCCGUUCUGGAGCGUCUGCGAAAACGCAACUUGACAGUUCGUCUCUCCAAGUGUAGGUUUGGGUUUAAUGAGAUUAAAUAUUUAGGCUUCGUGAUUGACGGGAAGUAUCUGAAACCUCAGUAUGAUAAAAUAGAUGCUCUUAUGCAGAUUCCAACCCCAAUUACAAAGAAGACGCUUCGAUCUAUUCUUGGUAUUUCUUUUUAUCGCAUGUUUAUUCCUCAGGCCUUUGAACUCUCGGCUCCGCUCUCGGACUAGUUACGCAAGAAUGUGCGGGAACCUUUAAUGUGGACGAAAGAAAUGGCUGAAAGGUUUGAAUAACUAAAAUCUACCUUGUCAAUAUCAUGAGGUUCUCGAAUUACCUGACUCUAACAUCCCAUUCAUUCUUCGAACAGACGCUUCUGAUUGUGGACUUGGUGCUGUACUAUUACAGUACUUGGAGGAUUCUCCCUAUCCUGUGGCUUAAACAAGUAGAAAAUUCUUAGUACGUGACAAGACGUAUUCUACAAUAGAGCGUGAGUGUCUGGCUAUCAUCUUUGGUGUUCAAAGAUUUAGAUAUUACUUAAAGGGCAAAGAAUAUAUUUUAGAAGUGGAUCACAAACCACUAGUGUACAUGAACAUAGCCAAAUCCUCUAACAGAUUGAUACGAUGGGCUUUGUGUUUGCAGUCUUUCAGAUUCAGAAUAGUCCAUGUUGCAGAGACUAAUAAUGUAGGUGUUGGCCUACUUUGUAGGUCAGGUAAAUGAUUUCUGAUUUUAAUGGUAUAUAGCCUAGCUAUAUACUUGUUGUGGGACUUGUGUGAAUAUUUUCCAAGCAUACGAAGUAUUUUUAUUUAAUAGAAUUUCCACUGCAGAUACAGUAUACUCUGUACGAAUAAAUUAAAAGCUAGGGUUCGGAUGAGCUUGACUGAACCUUCACGUCGACUCGCUCGACACUAGUCGACUCGUUUCGCGCACAGGUGGAAAAAGGGGGCGUGGCGGCAGAUCGCUGAGGCACACCAACGGAGACGCACCCUACUGCAGCUGCGGGCCGAGUUGAGGGGCGUGGGCGUCCUUUGUUGCACUUGUUUGGGGAUUCAUAGUGUGGCGAUUCAGUUCAAAUAUAUUAUUUUGAGAAUAUAAUUCAUUUUAGGACAGUUCUGCUGCAAUAUUGUAGGGAUUUCGGCGUUGUUAGAAACGAGCCAGCCCUGGCUCUUGUGACAAUUUAUUUUUCUUUUGCUUUUGUAGGAAUGUCCGGCGUUUUUUAGGGGCAUGCGGUUCGGUAGGGAUUUCGGCGUUGUUAGAUUUUUUGGAUAAUUUUUAUAUUAAAUUCCUAUUGUAUAUAACUUUUUUGUUCUAAGCAUUAAGUUUGUUUUUGAUUCCUAUAUUUUCAUCAUUAUUGUUUGUCUCCUAAACAUAAUAUUGAAGUAAAACAAUAAAUGGAUUAUGUUCA